UCCGCUCCGCUAUCCGGGAUUGACUACUAUGCGUGCAACACACACUUCCUCCCCUUCCGCAUGCAUGAGUCUUCUCUUCCACCUUUGCGCGCCCGAUUCUUCCUUUUCCCCUCCGUGUGACUACUUCUUCCUCCAUGCACAACUGUUGCUCCUUUGCUCGCGAUCACUCCUUUUCCCUCUACAUGCGAUUCUGCUCUACUCCUUCUCCCUCUGCACGCCUCCUCCGUCGCUGCCACCACUGCAUCCGUCGCUGCCACCACUGCAUCCGUCGCAACCACCAUAGUCUAUUACAAUGUCAGGAGAUGCAGAAUCAAACACCCAGCCACAAACAGUGUCGUCUUCCAAUUCCAGUAAUUCUAAGAGGAGUGAUGUUGCUUGGAAGCACAGUACACCAGUGAGAGAGAAUGAUACAAAUGAGAUUCUUUGUACCUAUUAUCGGAAGGUUAUGAAAGGAGGUAUCACAAGGGUGAAACAACUUUGUAUUGGAAAAGCGGGCAAUCUUACAACUUGUUUGAUGGCUCCUGAAGCUGUCAAGGUUGAGAUAAGGGCAGCUAUGGAUGGUAAGAAGCAGAGGCAAAAUGAAGCAUUCAAGAAGGCAAUGCAAGAGAUUGAAGCAUAAUGUGAAGAAGGAUUUAUGGAAUUUGGAUGUUUUGAUUCUCUGCUACCUCCAAUGGGUGAUUUUAGAUUGAAGGAUAUUAGGAAGGGUCCUAUGGACCUUUACAAUCAAUCUCAAUCUACAGCUACAAAAAAUAGGAAAUACAAGGUGGUGCAAGCGGACAUAAGAGAGCUUUGUGAUAAAAAAGCUACAGAAAGGGUGUAUCAACAUAUAGCAUGCUUUUGGUACCAAGCUGACAUUCCUUUCAACUUGAUAAAGUUGGAAAAUUUUUCAAGAUAUGCUUCAUGAAAUUGGGCAUUUUAGGAAGCAUUUGAAAGCUCCUUCCUAUCAUGACAUUAGAGUACCACUCCUUCAAAAAGAGGUGGAGUACACUAAUGAAUUAAUGAAGCCACUAAAGGAUCAAUGGGCAAGUUUUGGGUGUUCCUUAAUGUCAGAUGCUUGGACUGAUAGGAAACAAAGAAGCAUAAUCAACUUUUUGGUGAACUCCUCUUCUGGGACAAUGUUCUUAAGGUCGGUUGAUGCAUCUGACUAUGUAAAGGCCGGUGAAAAGAUAUUUGAGUUGCUGGAUUCUAUUGUGGAGGAGAUUGGAGAGGAAAAGGUUGUCCAAGUUAUAACAGACAACGAAAGUAAUUAUGUUCUUGCUGGUAGGUUUCUAGAGGAAAAAAGAAUUUUUUUUUUAUUGGACUCCUUGUGCUACACAUUGUAUAGAUUUGAUGUUAGAGGACAUUGAUAAGCUGCCCAAUAUAAAGAAGACCAUUCAGCGAGCUAUCUCUCUUGUUGGCUUCAUUUAUAGCCAUUCAAGCACUUUGAGCAUGUUGAGGUUCUUUACUGGUGGGAGGGAGUUAGUGAGGCAUGCAAUCACUCGAUUUGCAACAUCUUAUCUUUCGUUGAAGAGGAUUCAUCAAGAGAAAACUAAUCUUCAAAAGAUGUUUGUGUCAGAAGAGUGGAAUGAAAACAAGCUAGCAAAGGAGGCCAAGAGAAAGGAAGCCACUAAAACUGUCUUGAUGCCUAGUUUAUGGAAGAAUGUAGUUUUCAUUCUGAAAGUGAUGGCUCCUCUUGUGAAAGUGCUUAGGCUUGUGGAUAGUGAGAAAAAACUAGCCAUGGGCUACAUAUAUGAGGCAAUGGACAAGGCAAAGGAAACCAUUAUGAAAUCUUUUAAAAAUGAAAGAAAAUACAAGAAUGUGUUUGCAAUCAUUGAUAAAAGAUGGGAUAUUCGGCUUCAUCGCCCUUUACAUGCUGUUGGUCACUUUUUGAACCCGGAGUUCUUUUAUGCCAACCCACAGAUGGAGUUUAAUGGUGAGAUUAUUAGGGGUUUGUAUGAUUGUAUCAAUUGCUGGGAGAUUUGGAGAUGGAGAAGAUUGUUCAUAAGGAGUUGGCUCACUAUAAAGCUGUGAGUGGUAUGUUUGGGCCCACAACUGCUAUAGCAAUGAGAGGUGAAGUUGCAUUGGCUCAAUGGUGGCGGAUGUAUGGUUCAGAUACUCCAUAUUUGCAACAACUUGCAAUAAGGAUCCUUAGCUUGACCUGUAAUGCUUCAAUUGUGAAAGUAAUUGGAGCGUCUUAGAGCAAGUUCAUACUAAGAGAAGGAAUAGACUUGAGCAUAAAAGACUACAUGACUUGGUAUUUGUCAAGUAUAAUCAAGCACUCCAUCAAAGGUAUAACCUUAAGGAUGAAAUCGAUCCAAUUAGUCUCAAUGGGAUUGAUGAUUGCAAUGAGUGGCUAAUUGGAGAGAUGGAUGGGGAAGAAGGUGAAGAUGAGAGGGUUCAUGAAGGAGAUGAUGACCUUACUUGGAGACAAGUUUAUCAAGCUUUGGGACUUGGUGAGCCUAGACAAUACACUAGGCGUCACAAAAGGAGAGGGGAAAGUAGGAACAUCUACUAAUCCUUCUAAAAGAGCCAAAGGAGUAGCUUCAAAGAACAAGGGGAAAAGGGUUGAAGAAGUUGAGGCAUUAGAAGAUUCUAGCAAUGAGGAGGAGGAAUUAGUGCCAAAUGCUAAUUUCAUACAUUCAGAUGGAGAAGAAGCUGAAUGAUUUUUAAAUGAGCAACAUCAUCUAGUGGAGAAGAAGCUAAUUUCAUACAUUCAAAUGGUGAAGAAGCUAAUUUCAUACAUUCAAAUGCAGACAUUGAUGAGGAUGAAGAGGAUUAAACAAAAUAGUUUUAGGAAUUGUCAUUGUGUUUUGCUAUUUUUUAACAUUGUUUCUUUGUUUUGAUGGCUAUUUAAUCCUUUUGUUGGUUAGGAAUUUAUGUUUUUUUAUGAUGACUAUCACUAGAUUAUGAAUGCCAUGAAUUUUAGAUUGUUAUAUUGUUGGUUUUAAUAUAUGUGUUUGUUAUUUUUCUGUUUUUGCAUCAUAUUAUAUAUAUAUAUAUAUAUAUAU
Molecule: non-coding RNA, 2987 nt
Organism: Cajanus cajan (pigeon pea)
Lineage: Eukaryota; Viridiplantae; Streptophyta; Magnoliopsida; Fabales; Fabaceae
Source: RefSeq, a predicted model, not a curated record